This 496-nucleotide ribosomal RNA is filed under the name uncultured bacterium. RNAcentral's name for it is "partial 16S ribosomal RNA". It matches the Rfam family "Bacterial small subunit ribosomal RNA", at positions 29 to 507 of the family's 1533-position model. The record is from RNAcentral.
AUGAACGCUGGCGGCGUGCCUCAUACCUGCCAGUCGAGCGAACAGAUGAGGAGCUUGCUCCUCUGACGUUAGCGGCGGACGGGUGAGUAACACGUGGAUAACCUACCUAUAAGACUGGGAUAACUUCGGGAAACCGGAGCUAAUACCGGAUAAUAUAUUGAACCGCAUGGUUCAAUAGUGAAAGAUGGUUUUGCUGUCACUUAUAGAUGGAUCCGCGCCGCAUUAGCUAGUUGGUAAGGUAACGGCUUACCAAGGCAACGAUGCGUAGCCGACCUGAGAGGGUGAUCGGCCACACUGGAACUGAGACACGGUCCAGACUCCUACGGGAGGCAGCAGUAGGGAAUCUUCCGCAAUGGGCGAAAGCCUGACGGAGCAACGCCGCGUGAGUGAUGAAGGUCUUCGGAUCGUAAAACUCUGUUAUUAGGGAAGAACAAAUGUGUAAGUAACUAUGCACGUCUUGACGGUACCUAAUCAGAAAGCCACGGCUAACUACGUG